CCUAUGGGGGACAGCAGUGGGGAAUAUUGGGCAAUGGGCGCAAGCCUGACCCAGCAACGCCGCGUGAAGGAAGAAGGCUUUCGGGUUGUAAACUUCUUUUAUAAAGGAAUAAAGUGAGGCACGUGUGCCUUUUUGUAUGUACUUUAUGAAUAAGGAUCGGCUAACUCCGUGCCAGCAGCCGCGGUAAUACGGAGGAUCCGAGCGUUAUCCGGAUUUAUUGGGUGUAAAGGGGGCGCAGACGGCGAUGCAAGCCAGGAGUGAAAGCCCGGGGCCCAACCCCGGGACUGCUCUUGGGACUGCGUGGCUGGAGUGCAGGAGGGGCAGGCGGAAUUCCUGGUGUAGCGGUGAAAUGCGUAGAUAUCAGGAGGAACACCGGUGGCGAAGGCGGCCUGCUGGACUGCAACUGACGUUGAGGCCCGAAAGUGUGGGGAGCAAACAGGAUUAGAUACCCGAGUAGUC
This 459-nucleotide ribosomal RNA is filed under the name uncultured bacterium. Its description in RNAcentral is "partial 16S ribosomal RNA". It matches the Rfam family "Bacterial small subunit ribosomal RNA", at positions 338 to 795 of the family's 1533-position model. The record is from RNAcentral.